UUCCGGUUGAUCCUGCCGGAGGACAUUGCUAUUGGGAUUCGAUUUAGCCAUGCUAGUCGAGCGAGUUUAGACUCGCGGCGAAUAGCUCAGUAACACGUGGCCAAGCUCCCCUUCAGUCAGCGAUACCCUCGGGAAACUGAGGUUAACAGCUGAUACAAAACGUUUGCUGGAAUGCGGCGUUUCAGAAAGACUACGCUGAAGGAUGCGGCUGCGGCCGAUUAGGUAGACGGUGGGGUAACGGCCCACCGUGCCAGUAAUCGGUACGGGUGAUGAGAGUCAGAGCCCGGAGACGGAAUCUGAGACAAGAUUCCGGGCCCUACGGGGCGCAGCAGGCGCGAAACCUUUACACUGCACGGAAGUGCGAUAGG
RNAcentral lists this ribosomal RNA (368 nucleotides) under uncultured archaeon. Its description in RNAcentral is "bacterial SSU rRNA". It matches the Rfam family "Archaeal small subunit ribosomal RNA", at positions 1 to 374 of the family's 1478-position model. The record is from RNAcentral.